GGUGGUUCUUGGGUGACGCACCCCGGAAUCGGGCUCCCAUUUCUCUGGUUCCGGGUGCGUCACCAGAGAACCGCA
Non-coding RNA from Myotis davidii, 75 nucleotides. The record is from Rfam. Lineage: Eukaryota; Metazoa; Chordata; Mammalia; Chiroptera; Vespertilionidae.